Molecule: small nuclear RNA, 302 nt
Filed under: Castor canadensis (American beaver)
Lineage: Eukaryota; Metazoa; Chordata; Mammalia; Rodentia; Castoridae
Description: 7SK RNA (ENSCCNG00000004898.1)
Rfam family: 7SK RNA
About the family: 7SK was discovered as an abundant small nuclear RNA in the mid-70s but a possible function has only recently been suggested. Two independent studies have found that 7SK RNA binds the CDK9/cyclin T complex (known as elongation factor P-TEFb).
Source: RNAcentral
UGAUGUGAGGACAAUUGGCUGCGACAUCUGUCACCCCAUUGAUAGCCAGGGUUGACUCGGCUGAUCUGGCUGGCGAGGCGGGUGUCCCCUUCCUCCCUCACCGCUCCAUGUGCAUCCCUCCCGAAGCUGCGCGCUCGGUCGAAGGGGACGACCAUCCCUGAUAGAGGAGGACCGUUCUUUGGUCAAGGGUAUACAUAUGAGUAGCUGCGCUCCCCUGCUAGAACCUCCAAACAAGCUCUCAAUUAUGAAAGCCAGCUAGCUUUUGUUCACAAGAACUGUCUCAAUUUACGUGGCAUAAAUAG